Capsicum annuum is the source of this 394-nucleotide long non-coding RNA. RefSeq lists it as uncharacterized. The record is from RefSeq and is a predicted model, not a curated record. Lineage: Eukaryota; Viridiplantae; Streptophyta; Magnoliopsida; Solanales; Solanaceae. The transcript is spliced from 2 exons.
UAUCACGGCAAUUUCACUUAAUAGGGUUUAACCCUUUUUAACACUAAGCAGAAACUGAAAAAAAAGGGAUAGAAACUGCUGCGACGUCAAAAGACGGAGAACGAAUUCAGAAAGUGUUCUAGAGGCUCAGACAUAAUCUCACCUCUAGAGUUUGAUAGCAGAUCUUGAUCCAAGGGUGAGCACUCUGUGUUCAGGCUACCAUGGGUCAUCCUAUUUGUUCUUAUCCAUCUUUCGGGCAAUGAAACAUUCUUUAUUUACUUUAUUUUUGAAUAUCUCUUUAGACAUGAUCUUUGUUAGUAGUUCUUGCGUGAUAACUUUCAGGUCUUGGAUAUUUUUGUAAGUAGUUUAUUGGAUUUUCACAUAAAUAAUGAUUAGUCCUAUAUUAUUGUUAUUA